UAGAAAUAAGUGCUAACAUGCUAACAUUGGAACAAUCCAGAGAAGAUUCGCAUGGCCUCUGGGCAAGGGUGACACAUGAAUUAUGGCAGCAUUCCAUAUUUUU
Molecule: small nuclear RNA, 103 nt
Filed under: Myotis brandtii (Brandt's bat)
Lineage: Eukaryota; Metazoa; Chordata; Mammalia; Chiroptera; Vespertilionidae
Source: RNAcentral